CUACCCUGUAGAUCCGGGCUUUUGUAGUUUGUGAAUAGCAUUCAGAAGCUCGUAUUUACAGGUAUCU
RNAcentral lists this microRNA precursor (67 nucleotides) under Parasteatoda tepidariorum (common house spider). Its description in RNAcentral is "microRNA pte-mir-993b precursor (pte-mir-993b-2)". Its record names the gene pte-mir-993b-2. It matches the Rfam family "mir-10 microRNA precursor family", at positions 8 to 67 of the family's 74-position model. From Rfam's summary of the family: In this case the mature sequence comes from the 5' arm of the precursor. The extents of the hairpin precursors are not generally known and are estimated based on hairpin prediction. The record is from miRBase by way of RNAcentral. Lineage: Eukaryota; Metazoa; Arthropoda; Arachnida; Araneae; Theridiidae.